Amphimedon queenslandica is the source of this 338-nucleotide long non-coding RNA. RefSeq lists it as uncharacterized. The record is from RefSeq and is a predicted model, not a curated record. The transcript is spliced from 3 exons. NCBI's taxonomy places the organism in Eukaryota, Metazoa, Porifera, Demospongiae, Haplosclerida, Niphatidae.
AAUACCAGGAACAGCAAGUAUCAAUCUUAAUUUGGUAUUCCAGAGGUGGUUUGAUGCUGAUAGAGAUGUCAAUUGGGAUACAUUAAUAAAACUGUGUGAUGACUUUCCUGAUCAACUGGGCAAAGCAAGGUCUAACCUUAGAUUGAUUGAAGACACAUCAAUCAGUGAAUUUUCCGUGCUAGCAUCUCAUUCAGCAAGUAGCAUAAGUACCAGUGCAGGUGGUCAUAACAUAACUUCUCCUUUUAGAAAUAAAAUAAGUGAAAAGAAUGUUUAUAAGUCUUUGAAUGCUUUACAUCUGAAAUUUUCAGAUUUAUUUAUGAUUUUUGAAAGAAAUUUUG